RNAcentral lists this ribosomal RNA (241 nucleotides) under uncultured bacterium. RNAcentral describes it as "partial 16S ribosomal RNA". It matches the Rfam family "Bacterial small subunit ribosomal RNA", at positions 524 to 764 of the family's 1533-position model. The record is from RNAcentral.
UACGGAGGGGACUAGCGUUGUUCGGAAUUACUGGGCGUAAAGCGCACGUAGGCGGAUUUGUAAGUCAGGGGUGAAAUCCCGGGGCUCAACCUCGGAACUGCCUUUGAUACUGCAAAUCUCGAGUCCGGAAGAGGUGAGUGGAAUUCCUAGUGUAGAGGUGAAAUUCGUAGAUAUUAGGAAGAACACCAGUGGCGAAGGCGGCUCACUGGUCCGGUACUGACGCUGAGGUGCGAAAGCGUGG